RNAcentral lists this ribosomal RNA (251 nucleotides) under uncultured bacterium. RNAcentral describes it as "partial 16S ribosomal RNA". It matches the Rfam family "Bacterial small subunit ribosomal RNA", at positions 524 to 776 of the family's 1533-position model. The record is from RNAcentral.
UACGAAGGGGGCUAGCGUUGUUCGGAAUUACUGGGCGUAAAGCGCACGUAGGCGGAUAUUUAAGUCAGGGGUGAAAUCCCAGAGCUCAACUCUGGAACUGCCUUUGAUACUGGGUAUCUUGAGUAUGGAAGAGGUAAGUGGAAUUGCGAGUGUAGAGGUGAAAUUCGUAGAUAUUCGCAGGAACACCAGUGGCGAAGGCGGCUUACUGGUCCAUUACUGACGCUGAGGUGCGAAAGCGUGGGAGCAACAGG